This 253-nucleotide ribosomal RNA is filed under the name uncultured bacterium. RNAcentral's name for it is "partial 16S ribosomal RNA". It matches the Rfam family "Bacterial small subunit ribosomal RNA", at positions 524 to 776 of the family's 1533-position model. The record is from RNAcentral.
UACGGGGGGGGCAAGCGUUGUUCGGAGUUACUGGGCGUAAAGCGUGCGUAGGCGGUGUCUUAAGUUUGUUGUGAAAUCUCCCGGCUUAACCGGGAGGGUGCGGCGAAUACUGAGAUGCUGGAGUGCGGGAGAGGUAAGCGGAAUUCCUGGUGUAGCGGUGAAAUGCGUAGAUAUCAGGAGGAACACCUGCGGUGUAGACGGCUUACUGGACCGUAACUGACGCUGAGGCACGAAAGCGUGGGUAGCAAACAGG